This is a long non-coding RNA of Raphanus sativus (radish), 1195 nucleotides long. RefSeq lists it as uncharacterized. Lineage: Eukaryota; Viridiplantae; Streptophyta; Magnoliopsida; Brassicales; Brassicaceae. The transcript is spliced from 4 exons. The record is from RefSeq and is a predicted model, not a curated record.
AAAAAAUCUAAAAGAAAUACAUAAGAAAGGUUGUAGGCAAGGGGAGAGAAGACUUAGCUCCAACUUAAAAAUCAAGAAAUCAUCUUAGGGAGAGAAGUCAUAACUUCCAAUUUAAAGAUCAAGCACUCAUCUUCUAUAUCCGAAACCGUUCAAGAAGAUUUCCGCAAUAAUGAAACGAGUCAUAGUCCAACUCUUACAUCGGUUCGGGCUAUCGAUAAGCCAGCCAUAUGUCCCCUGCCGGCUUGCAGCGUCUUAUAGGGAUCUUGUUCUGAGUUAUUAAAGAGGAAUGUCCCUCGAUGUCGAUUAUCUCGAAGCCCUGCUUGUGCCACAGAAGAGUGGUGAAACACUCUACUACAGUCCGAAGUCGAGGACGGACAUGUCGAUAGUGAAGGGACUCGUGUCCGAUGCUCACAGACAUGUAGAUAGUGAAAGAACUCGAGGUGAAUUAUUGAAGGCGUGUUUGGUGUUUUGAUUUCAGGCUUAACCGCCUUUGUACUUUGCAAACUUGAGCUAUAAUCGUAGCAUUAAUUUCAAGCUAUGAAAAGAAUUCGUUAAACUGAAACGUAAAAAUCAGUUUUUUUUGGCCUAACUCACUUUUAUUUUACAAAGGAAAAAAAUUACUCUUCAUUUCCUCUUAUCAUCUUCAAAUCUGUCAAGCCGCUGGACUCUUCUUCUUCACCUUCCUCCGCUGCUUUUCACCACCAUCACAUUUGCCGCUUCUUCUUCAUAUUCCAUUUUGUUUUAUCAAAAUCUCAGUUGCACAUAAACUAAAACUCUAGAGGUCCUCGACCUAUAUCCUUGGAGAAGGGAAAACCACAUUUGUAAACAGACGUCUUACUGGAAAGUUUGAGAAGAAGUAUGAACGAGUUGUACCAGUUCAAUGAUGGAUUCCCUACACCAUAAGGGUCAGCUCGGCUCAGUUUCUCCUUCAGGUACCGGAACUGAUCACAACAACUACAGAAAAUUGCAGCAAAACGAGUCAGGCUAAUCUGUCCUCUUGGCGGGAUCUAUGCACUCUUCUUCCUUGAAGGUUUGAAAGUAGGUUGAAGUUUGUUUGUUAUGAAUAUAUAUAAGUUUAGAGUUUGAGUCUUGGUUGUUUAUUAAUCCCUCUAAGUAGUCUCCAAACUCAUAUAUCAUGUACAUACUCUAGUUUAUGUGACAUUAACAGCUGAGAGUUGAGGCUUAGCUGCAAAAA